This 502-nucleotide unclassified non-coding RNA is filed under the name uncultured Glomeromycotina. Its description in RNAcentral is "SSU rRNA". It matches the Rfam family "Eukaryotic small subunit ribosomal RNA", at positions 591 to 1092 of the family's 1831-position model. RNAcentral also lists the same sequence under 1 other name. The record is from RNAcentral. Lineage: Eukaryota; Fungi; Glomeromycota.
CCAAUAGCGUAUAUUAGUGUUGUUGCGGUUAAAAAGCUCGUAGUUGAAUUUCGGGAUUGGGAUAUAUCGGUCGUGCCUUUAGGGGCAUGAAUCGGUGUGUGGCCAAUUCUCACCUUCUGGUGAAUUGGGAUGCUCUCGGGUGUUUCAAUGAACUAGGACUUUUACUUUGAAAAAAUUAGAGUGUUUAAAGCGGGCAUUUUUGCUUGAAUACGUUAGCAUGGAAUAAUAAAAUAGGACGAUGGUUCUAUUUUGUUGGUUUUAGGACCACGUAAUGAUUAAUAGGGAUAGUUGGGGGCAUUAGUAUUCAAUUGUCAGAGGUGAAAUUCUUGGAUUUAUUGAGGACUAACUACUGCGAAAGCAUUUGCCAAGGAUGUUUUCAUUAAUCAAGAACGAAAGUUAGGGGAUCAAAGACGAUUUAUGUACGUCGUAGUCUUAACCAUAAACUAUGCCGACUAGGAAUCAGACAAAGUUAAUUUUUUAACGACUUGUUUGGUACCUUACG